AGGGCGACCGGCCACACUGGGACUGAGACACGGCCCAGACUCCUACGGGAGGCAGCAGUGGGGAAUAUUGGGCAAUGGAGGAAACUCUGACCCAACGACGCCGCGUGAGGGAUGAAGGCCUUCGGGUUGUAAACCUCUUUCAGUAGGGAAGAAGCCAAAGUGACGGUACCUACAGAAGAAGCACCGGCUAACUAUGUGCCAGCAGCCGCGGUAAUACAUAGGGUGCAAGCGUUGUCCGGAAUUAUUGGGCGUAAAGAGCUCGUAGGU
This 267-nucleotide ribosomal RNA is filed under the name uncultured bacterium. RNAcentral's name for it is "partial 16S ribosomal RNA". It matches the Rfam family "Bacterial small subunit ribosomal RNA", at positions 297 to 576 of the family's 1533-position model. The record is from RNAcentral.